RNAcentral lists this ribosomal RNA (764 nucleotides) under Lentinula raphanica. RNAcentral describes it as "eukaryotic LSU rRNA". The stretch from base 291 to 444 matches the Rfam family "5.8S ribosomal RNA". The record is from RNAcentral. Lineage: Eukaryota; Fungi; Basidiomycota; Agaricomycetes; Agaricales; Omphalotaceae.
CCGUAGGUGAACCUGCGGAAGGAUCAUUAUUGAACUCUUUGGUGGGUGGACUGUUGCUGGCUUGUCUUUCUAAAAAAGGUUUGCAUGUGCACGUUCUCCACUAAUUUCAUUUAUCCACCUGUGCACCUUUUGUAGGAGGGACCUUUACUCAUUCUAUUGUGAUAACAUUAUGUUGUUUUCAAUAUUGUGAGGCAAAUGGGAGGUCCCUUCUAUGUCUUCACAAAUGAUUCAAAGUAUGUUAAAGAAUGAACACAAUUAUUGGGACUUCAUUGACCCAUUGAACUUAAUACAACUUUCAGCAACGGAUCUCUUGGCUCUCCCAUCGAUGAAGAACGCAGCGAAAUGCGAUAAGUAAUGUGAAUUGCAGAAUUCAGUGAAUCAUCGAAUCUUUGAACGCACCUUGCGCCCUCUGGUAUUCCGGAGGGCAUGCCUGUUUGAGUGUCAUUAAAUUCUCAAUCCUAACCAGUUGUUAAUUGACUGCGUUAGAAUUGGAACUGGAGGUUUGUUGGCUUCUGUUCAACUCCUCUAAAAUAUAUCAGUGGAUUUUAACACCCUGCUUUGUUGAUCCCAACCUGUUUAAGGUGUGAUAAUUAUCUACGCUUUUUAACAGUUGGUUUCACGAGUUACUCUUUUGAUUUGGGUUGUGUUGCAUUGUGCUCAAUCUGUUUCUAUUCAUUAGAGUUUGAUACAAAGGGGAGUCAUCUGCUUUCUAACAGUCCUGUUCAUUGGACAACUCUAUAUUUUUGCUUGACCUCAAAUCAGGU